GGCAAAUUUUGACUUGUUAGAGAUCUUGACUUGCUGAUAAUUUUUGUGAUUUAAAGUGUCUAUUUAUCUAUUAUAAUUUUUAUCAUGUAAGGCAAAACGCAAAACGCAAAAAAAAAAAAAAAUGGUAAAAACCGCAUUAAAGGGCCAUAACUCCAAUAAGGAGUCGUCGGACGGUUCCUCCAAAUUGUCUUAAUUGUAGAUCUUGUCUUGCUG
This 213-nucleotide long non-coding RNA is filed under the name Mytilus galloprovincialis (Mediterranean mussel). The record is from RNAcentral. Lineage: Eukaryota; Metazoa; Mollusca; Bivalvia; Mytilida; Mytilidae.